CAUGAUCUCGUAGGUCUGCGCAUUCUUGAGCAUGCCGUCCUGAUGGAUGCCGCUCUCGUGCGCGAAGGCAUUACGCCCGACGAUGGCUUUGUUGUACUGCACCGGGAACGACGUCGCCGCCGCCACCGACUUCGAUGCCCGCGUCAGCAUCGUGGUGUCGAUGUUGUUCCAGUACGGCAACUUGUCGUUACGCACGCGCAUCGCCAUCACGACUUCCUCGAG
This 222-nucleotide unclassified non-coding RNA is filed under the name Hevea brasiliensis (rubber tree). The record is from RNAcentral. Lineage: Eukaryota; Viridiplantae; Streptophyta; Magnoliopsida; Malpighiales; Euphorbiaceae.